GAUGAAGAACGCAGCGAAAUGCGAUAAGUAAUGUGAAUUGCAGAAUUCAGUGAAUCAUCGAAUCUUUGAACGCACAUUGCGCCCGUCAGUACUCUGGCGGGCAUGCCUGUUCGAGCGUCAUUACGCCCCUCAAGUCCCCUGUGGACUUGGUGUUGGGGAUCGGCGAGGCUGGUUUUCCAGCACAGCCGUCCCUUAAAUUAAUUGGCGGUCUCGCCGUGGCCCUCCUCUGCGCAGUAGUAAAACACUCGCAACAGGAGCCCGGCGCGGUCCACUGCCGUAAAACCCCCCAACUUUUUAUAGUUGACCUCGAAUCAGGUAGGACUACCCGCUGAACUUAAGCAUAUCAAUAAGCGGAGGA
RNAcentral lists this unclassified non-coding RNA (358 nucleotides) under soil metagenome. RNAcentral describes it as "partial contains 5.8S ribosomal RNA, internal transcribed spacer 2, and large subunit ribosomal RNA". The stretch from base 1 to 120 matches the Rfam family "5.8S ribosomal RNA", at positions 35 to 154 of the family's 154-position model. The record is from RNAcentral.